AGUGAACGCUGGCGGUAGGCCUAACACAUGCAAGUCGAACGGCAGCACAGUAAGAGCUUGCUCUUACGGGUGGCGAGUGGCGGACGGGUGAGGAAUACAUCGGAAUCUACCUUUUCGUGGGGGAUAACGUAGGGAAACUUACGCUAAUACCGCAUACGACCUACGGGUGAAAGCAGGGGAUCUUCGGACCUUGCGCGAUUGAAUGAGCCGAUGUCGGAUUAGCUAGUUGGCGGGGUAAAGGCCCACCAAGGCGACGAUCCGUAGCUGGUCUGAGAGGAUGAUCAGCCACACUGGAACUGAGACACGGUCCAGACUCCUACAGGAGGCAGCAGUGGGGAAUAUUGGACAAUGGGCGCAAGCCUGAUCCAGCCAUACCGCGUGGGUGAAGAAGGCCUUCGGGUUGUAAAGCCCUUUUGUUGGGAAAGAAAAGCAGCAGGUUAAUACCCCGCUGUUCUGACGGUACCCAAAGAAUAAGCACCGGCUAACUUCGUG
This 492-nucleotide ribosomal RNA is filed under the name uncultured bacterium. RNAcentral's name for it is "partial 16S ribosomal RNA". It matches the Rfam family "Bacterial small subunit ribosomal RNA", at positions 29 to 507 of the family's 1533-position model. The record is from RNAcentral.